CCUACGGUGGGCAGCAGUGAGGAAUAUUGGUCAAUGGACGAGAGUCUGAACCAGCCAAGUAGCGUGAAGGAUGACUGCCCUAUGGGUUGUAAACUUCUUUUAUAAAGGAAUAAAACGAGGCACGUGUGCCUUUUUGCAUGUACUUUAUGAAUAAGGAUCGGCUAACUCCGUGCCAGCAGCCGCGGUAAUACGGAGGAUCCGAGCGUUAUCCGGAUUUAUUGGGUUUAAAGGGAGCGUAGAUGGGUUGUUAAGUCAGUUGUGAAAGUUUGCGGCUCAACCGUAAAAGUGCAAUUGAUACUGGCAGUCUUGAGUACAGCUGAGGUAGGCGGAAUUCGUGGUGUAGCGGUGAAAUGCUUAGAUAUCACGAAGAACCCCGAGUGCGAAGGCAGCUUACUAAACUGUGACUGACAUUGAUGCUCGAAAGUGUGGGUAUCAAACAGGAUUAGAUACCCCUGUAGUC
This 460-nucleotide ribosomal RNA is filed under the name uncultured bacterium. RNAcentral describes it as "partial 16S ribosomal RNA". It matches the Rfam family "Bacterial small subunit ribosomal RNA", at positions 338 to 795 of the family's 1533-position model. The record is from RNAcentral.